AUACAUAAAACACAAAUUUGUGUUUGAACAUGGCCGAAACCUUGGCCGCCUCUGCAUUUGUUCUCUCUCUCUCCAUUUUUGCCAAAAAUUGCAUCGGUGCAGUGUACUUGUGUUUUUCUCUCUCUUCCAUAUCAGCCGUAGUCAAUCGUUGAAGAGGAAGAACCACUAUUUGGUUUUACACUGAUCUUGUGCGAGUACAGUUAAGGUAUUGAUUCGCUCAUAACCCUUUCUCAGUAUAAAUUCGGUUUGUGUUUGCUGAAAUCUUGGAUUUCUUGUGGUUAUUGUGGCUGUGAGGUGUGGAGGAGAAGAAAGGCUCUCAAAAUACUCCAUUCUCGGCCUAGGCUACCACUACAAAAGUCGGUGGGCUAUUUGGGCCAGUCCUUUGCAAGCCACUAUUAGGUCAGAGGCCCAACAUCUUUUUUUUUUCUAUCGAGUCCGAGUAAAAGAAAUGAUUGAAGGCCCAUCCAUGGGUGAAAAAGGCAACUGGUGGUCUUCGGUAGGCCCACCAGCCUAACUCUUUCUUUUUCCAUUUAUGUACAUUUGUAUAUGUGCAUGUAAGAAUGAUUGUAAAUAUUGAAACCCGAUUGUUUAGAACUUA
Molecule: long non-coding RNA, 598 nt
Organism: Lycium barbarum (goji berry)
Lineage: Eukaryota; Viridiplantae; Streptophyta; Magnoliopsida; Solanales; Solanaceae
Exons: 3
Source: RefSeq, a predicted model, not a curated record